RNAcentral lists this ribosomal RNA (392 nucleotides) under uncultured microorganism. Its description in RNAcentral is "bacterial SSU rRNA". It matches the Rfam family "Archaeal small subunit ribosomal RNA", at positions 330 to 724 of the family's 1478-position model. The record is from RNAcentral.
GUGCAGCAGACGAGAAACUUCACACUGUGCGAAAGCACGAUGAGGGAAUCCCAAGUGCUUGCACGUAAGUGUAAGCUGUUUCUCUGUCUAAAACGCAGAGAGAGUAAGGGCUGGGUAAGACGGGUGCCAGCCGCCGCGGUAAUACCUGCAGCUCAAGUGGUGACCGUUAUUAUUGGGCCUAAAACGUCCGUAGCCGGUUUAAUAAAUGCCUGGGUAAAUUGUGUAGCUUAACUAUACAAAUUCCGGGUAGACUGUUAAACUUGAGACCGGGAGAAGUUAGAGGUACUCCUGGGGUAGAGGUGAAAUUCUGUAAUCCUAGGGGGACCACCAGUGGCGAAGGCGUCUAACUAGAACGGGUCUGACGGUGAGGGACGAAGCCCUGGGGCGCAAAC